UACGUAGGUGGCGAGCGUUGUCCGGAUUUACUGGGCGUAAAGGGAGCGUAGGCGGACUUUUAAGUGAGAUGUGAAAUACCCGAGCUCAACUUGGGUGCUGCAUUUCAAACUGGAAGUCUAGAGUGCAGGAGAGGAGAAUGGAAUUUCUAGUGUAGCGGUGAAAUGCGUAGAGAUUAGGAAGAACACCAGUGGCGAAGGCGAUUCUCUGGACUGUAACUGACGCUGAGGCUUGAAAGCGUGGGGAGCAAACAGGAUUAGAUA
This 261-nucleotide ribosomal RNA is filed under the name uncultured prokaryote. RNAcentral's name for it is "partial 16S ribosomal RNA". It matches the Rfam family "Bacterial small subunit ribosomal RNA", at positions 524 to 784 of the family's 1533-position model. The record is from RNAcentral.